UGCAACAGAGCAGGUAUCAGGCUCAACAACGUUAGCCAACCACACCUUGCUAAGCCACAUCCCCACGGAAAACGCAGCAGUGACCAACAUUAGGCAAUAAGCACACCAAGCUUGACCUAGCCAAAACUUCCACUGGUCGGCAAAUCUCGUGCCAGCAGCCGCGGUUACACGGGAGACCAAAGAUAAUACACCAACGGCGUAAAGAGUGACCACAGAUUUCUACCUGCCACCAGAUCCCGAAAUCCUCCCUCAGAGAUGAAAUCCCAAGCCAUCUAGAACUCCUAGGCAUCCCACCAUCAGGCCAUCCAACUCACGAAAACCAGGACACAAACUAGGAUU
Molecule: ribosomal RNA, 339 nt
Filed under: Varanus brevicauda (Short-tailed pygmy monitor)
Lineage: Eukaryota; Metazoa; Chordata; Lepidosauria; Squamata; Varanidae
Description: partial 12S ribosomal RNA
Source: RNAcentral